Molecule: long non-coding RNA, 581 nt
Organism: Anopheles merus
Lineage: Eukaryota; Metazoa; Arthropoda; Insecta; Diptera; Culicidae
Exons: 4
Source: RefSeq, a predicted model, not a curated record
CCAAACUUUCGAUUAGUGAUAGUAAUAAGAAAAUGGAAAAUGGCCAUGUUUGUGAACCAGUUCUUCUAGAAUUAAACAAAAAAAGUGAGCAUUGCGAUAAAGGUGACAAUCAUUUGUGGUUAAGCUAUCCGGAUGACAGUGGUAUAAAGUGUUCCAAAAUAAUUGCUGAACCGUUUCCCUUGCGAAUAGGAAAUUUGAAUUUAGAACUAAUGCAAAUUUCAUUUGGGAAGGAUCGGUGCCGGAAUAUGCAGCGAAAAUCAUUAAAUGUUAAUAGAAAAGUGGUUAAGUUAAUCGUGAAAGAUGUCAACGCAGGCGUAAAUGCAGUAUGUUUUGUUACAUGAUCUACAGCUAUUUCAUCACCAAAGCCCCUGAUAAUAGAUCAAAGCAGAUGGAUCGGGCAUACAGAGUCGCCGUUUAAUUUAAAAUAUCUUCGUGAUCGGCAAACGCAUCAAACAGCAUAUUUUUUUUCAACAGCACGCACCAUCGGUGGAGCAAGCAGCUAACGUUUUGUUCGCCCAGCACGCACCAUCAAGUAUUGAAAUAUUUUCAAAUAGCUUUGUGAAUAAAAAACUGCACACUUA